AAGACAAAUAAAUCUUGUUUCUGCUUUUAGACUUACCCUCAAAAAAUGUUCAGAUCUGUUUAAUGUGGUGGAGAUGCAACUAAUGCUGAAAUGAAUCUUAAACCCGAUGCUGAAAUGAAUCUUAAACCCGACGUGCCUUGAGUAGCUCUCUGGGGAGCUGCAGUGAAGCAGGUGCUUCCAGUGUAGCUCUGGCCUCGGCUCUGGGAGCAGCACCUGGCGUCCAGGAAUGAAUGGCUCCUCCUUCCAUGAUUUGUCACUGAGCCAAACUACCUGGACCUCCACUCUGGCUGCGGGCAGGCUCUCUUUCUCCGUGCCUCUGCUUACCCAUCUGUGAAAUGGAAAUGACACAGAAGGCCAAUGCGGAUGACUGGAGGGAGAACCCAGAGCAGAAGGUGCUCACCGCAAACUCUCGGUAGAUAUGGGCGACAUUCCUUGUGCGUUUUAUUCCCUUGACUGUUUUGAG
RNAcentral lists this long non-coding RNA (463 nucleotides) under Mustela putorius furo (domestic ferret). RNAcentral's name for it is "lncRNA (ENSMPUG00000023841.1)". The record is from RNAcentral. Lineage: Eukaryota; Metazoa; Chordata; Mammalia; Carnivora; Mustelidae.